AGAGUUUGAUCAUGGCUCAGAAUGAACGCUGGCGGCGUGCCUAACACAUGCAAGUCGGAUGUGCCGCAAGGUGCAUGGCAGACGGGUGAGUAACGCGUGGGGAAUCUACCUCUUUGUGGGGAAUAACGCUCCGAAAGGAGUGGUAAUACCGCAUGAGAUCCAUGGCUGGGAUGCUGUGGAUGAAACCUGGGGAUCGCAAGACCUGGGGCAAGGAGAGGAUCCUGCGUCUGAUUAGCUAGUUGGUGAGGUAACGGCCCACCAAGGCAACGAUCAGUAGCCGGCCUGAGAGGGUGAUCGGCCACACUGGAACUGAGACACGGUCCAGACUCCUACGGGAGGCAGCAGUGGGGAAUUUUGCGCAAUGGGCGAAAGCCUGACGCAGCAACGCCGCGUGGGUGAUGAAGGUCUUCGGAUCGUAAAACCCCGUCGUCGGGGACGAAGGUUUGGGGGUUAAUAGCCUUUAAGCUUGACGGUACCCGGAGAGGAAGCCCCGGCUAACUCUGUGCCAGCAGCCGCGGUAAUACAGAGGGGGCAAGCGUUAUUCGGAAUUAUUGGGCGUAAAGGGCGCGUAGGCGGCUUUUUAAGUGAGAUGUGUAAUCCCCGAGCUCAACUUGGGAACUGCAUCUCAUACUGGGAGGCUAGAGUACUGGAGAGGGUGGUAGAAUUCCACGUGUAGCGGUGAAAUGCGUAGAGAUGUGGAGGAAUACCAGUGGCGAAGGCGGCCACCUGGACAGUAACUGACGCUGAGGCGCGAAAGUGUGGGUAGCAAACAGGAUUAGAUACCCUGGUAGUCC
Molecule: ribosomal RNA, 794 nt
Filed under: uncultured bacterium
Lineage: Bacteria
Description: bacterial SSU rRNA
Rfam family: Bacterial small subunit ribosomal RNA
Source: RNAcentral